RNAcentral lists this ribosomal RNA (490 nucleotides) under uncultured bacterium. RNAcentral describes it as "partial 16S ribosomal RNA". It matches the Rfam family "Bacterial small subunit ribosomal RNA", at positions 30 to 507 of the family's 1533-position model. The record is from RNAcentral.
AUUGAACGCUGGCGGCAGGCCUAACACAUGCAAGUCGAACGGUAACAGGAAGAAGCUUGCUUCUUUGCUGACGAGUGGCGGACGAGUGAGUAAUGUCUGGGAAACUGCCUGAUGGAGGGGGAUAACUACUGGAAACGGUAGCUAAUACCGCAUAACGUCGCAAGACCAAAGAGGGGGACCUUCGGGCCUCUUGCCAUCGGAUGUGCCCAGAUGGGAUUAGCUAGUAGGUGGGGUAACGGCUCACCUAGGCGACGAUCCCUAGCUGGUCUGAGAGGAUGACCAGCCACACUGGAACUGAGACACGGUCCAGACUCCUACGGGAGGCAGCAGUGGGGAAUAUUGCACAAUGGGCGCAAGCCUGAUGCAGCCAUGCCGCGUGUAUGAAGAAGGCCUUCGGGUUGUAAAGUACUCUCAGCGGUGAGGAAGGGAGUAAAGUUAAUACCUUGGCUCAUUGACGUUACCCGCAGAAGAAGCACCGGCUAACUCCGUG